RNAcentral lists this ribosomal RNA (468 nucleotides) under uncultured bacterium. Its description in RNAcentral is "partial 16S ribosomal RNA". It matches the Rfam family "Bacterial small subunit ribosomal RNA", at positions 28 to 507 of the family's 1533-position model. The record is from RNAcentral.
GACGAACGCUGGCGGCGUGCUUAACACAUGCAAGUCGAACGGAAAGGCCCUGCUUUUGUGGGGUGCUCGAGUGGCGAACGGGUGAGUAACACGUGAGUAACCUGCCCUUGACUUUGGGAUAACUUCAGGAAACUGGGGCUAAUACCGGAUAGGAGCUCCUGCUGCAUGGUGGGGGUUGGAAAGUUUCGGCGGUUGGGGAUGGACUCGCGGGUUAUCAGCUUGUUGGUGGGGUAGUGGCUUACCAAGGCUUUGACGGGUAGCCGGCCUGGGAGGGUGAGCGGCCACAUUGGGACUGGGAUACGGCCCAGACUCCUACGGGAGGCAGCAGUGGGGAGUAUUGCACAAUGGGCGGAAGCCUGAUGCAGCAACGCCGCGUGCGGGAUGACGGCCUUCGGGUUGGAAACCGCUUUCGCCUGUGACGAAGCGUGAGUGACGGUAAUGGGUAAAGAAGCACCGGCUAACUACGUG